UUUCCGUAGGUGAACCUGCGGAAGGAUCAUUACCGAGUGAGGGUCUCUCAGGCCCGACCUCCCACCCUGUGUUUUUGUGACCCUGUUGCUUUGACGGGCCCGCCUCGAUGAGGGGCCGCCGGAAGCUCACCGCUUUGGGCCCGUGCCCGUCAGUAGCCCCCUUAAAUUCUUAAUAAACCUGUCGUCUGAGUUAAUGGAUAUAAUGAAAAGAAACUUUCAACAACGGAUCUCUUGGUUCUG
RNAcentral lists this unclassified non-coding RNA (240 nucleotides) under plant metagenome. RNAcentral's name for it is "partial contains small subunit ribosomal RNA, internal transcribed spacer 1, and 5.8S ribosomal RNA". The record is from RNAcentral.